RNAcentral lists this transfer RNA (84 nucleotides) under Candidatus Moraniibacteriota bacterium. RNAcentral describes it as "Candidatus Moranbacteria bacterium tRNA-Leu". It matches the Rfam family "tRNA". Rfam says of the family: Transfer RNA (tRNA) molecules are approximately 80 nucleotides in length. Their secondary structure includes four short double-helical elements and three loops (D, anti-codon, and T loops). Further hydrogen bonds mediate the characteristic L-shaped molecular structure. tRNAs have two regions of fundamental functional importance: the anti-codon, which is responsible for specific mRNA codon recognition, and the 3' end, to which the tRNAs corresponding amino acid is attached (by aminoacyl-tRNA synthetases). tRNAs cope with the degeneracy of the genetic code in two manners: having more than one tRNA (with a specific anti-codon) for a particular amino acid; and 'wobble' base-pairing, i.e. permitting non-standard base-pairing at the 3rd anti-codon position. The record is from RNAcentral. Lineage: Bacteria; Candidatus Moraniibacteriota.
GGGGAUAUGGCGAAAUUGGUAGACGCGUCAGCUUCAGGGGCUGAUAAUAGCAAUGUUAUGAGAGUUCAAAUCUCUCUAUCCCCA